UACGAGGACCCCAAGCGUUAUCCGGAAUUACUGGGCGUAAAGAGCGAGUAGCCGGUUGUAUUAGUCUGAUGUUAAAUCCUAUUGCUUAACGAUAGGGCCGCAUCAGAAACGGUACGACUGGAGCAGGUGAGAGGCAUGCGGAACGUGCGGUGUAGGGGUGAAAUCCAUUGAUAUCGCACGGAACACCAAAAGCGAAAGCAGCAUGCUAGCGCUUUGCUGACGGUCAAUCGCGAAAGCGUGGGGAUCAAAAAGG
Molecule: unclassified non-coding RNA, 253 nt
Filed under: uncultured Parcubacteria group bacterium
Lineage: Bacteria
Description: contains 16S-23S intergenic spacer region
Rfam family: Bacterial small subunit ribosomal RNA
Source: RNAcentral